CGAGCUGCCAGAUAACAGGCUUAAUAGCCUUUUAGACACUUCCUCCAAAUAUCAUCAACCCACCCCGAUGCAAUCUGACAUACAAAAUAUGUCAUGCCAUUAUGCAAUUAAUAGUACAUACAAUUAGAUAUCAUAAGUCAUGCUCGGUAUAGAAAUUAGACAGACAAAUCACACAUAUAAGGGUCUAAGUAAACCUUACCGUAGGUCCACAGUCGACUUGGGCGACCUGUGCAACCUUACAGAACUUUUCAGAAAAAUAGACUUACACGCCCAUGUGGCGCACUCAGCCCAAAUUGGACUUGGCCACGUGAUCAAUUUUUAAUGUAACCCGUGCUAGUUAAUUAUUCAUAUAUAUUUUCACUAUUUACUUAUAUGUUCCUUCAAAGCUGUCUACUUGAGUCUCUGUUACUAAAUUAUUUAUAUCUUGAGCUACAGAAUUCCGAAUUAAGAUUUGCUUAAUGUCUUUGAAACUAAACUCAAACAGCUUUCUGCCAUAAAAUUUUCAUAAUUUUUGGUUUAGCUUUCUAUCAUAAAAUCUUCAAACUUACCCCUGUUCUUCUGUCUGACAGCUUCAUCCCUUCUUUGCUAAAAAUUAAUUAUCUCUUAGUAAAAAAUUUGGAUUAUGUUUCAAUUUCCUUCUAUUGAAAAUAUACUCAUUAAUAAUUUAAACAUGAAAAUUUUAUCCCCUAAUUAUUAUUCUCUAAUUUUUGAUGAUUUUCCAAAGUCAGAACAGGGGAACUCGAAUUCAUUCUGACCUUGUAUCACAAAACCUAUUAUAUCUCACGAUUUAAAAUUCCAUUACUUACACCAUUUCUUCUAUGAGAAACUAGACUCAAUAAUAUUUAAUUCCAUAUUUUAUUCAUCCUCUAAUUUGAUUUCCACAAUUUAUGGCGAUUUUUCAAAUUUAGCUUAUUGCUGCUGUCCAAACAUCAAGCAAUUUUGGCUUUUUACUGAAUCUCUUUUUUUUUUGCGUUUCGGGUAUACUCCUAGUUUUGUUUAAUGCUAAAACAGUCCCUCAGCACUCUAAAGGCUAUAAUUAAGACACUCAACAUCAAUUUAAUGGAUUUACAAGUGAAUUGGCAAGCAGGAACGAACAAAAACCCAACUUACCAUUAACGAUAACUCUCCGUUUAACUAUUGUUAAGAUGAGAACACUGAAUUCACUAGUCCAAGCCUCCCCCUACGCCCAAAUCACAGAGAAAAAACAUUACCACUUCAGUCAUUAAGAGAUUCAUGACAGAAACGAAGAGAAACACUUACCGAAACUAAGCGAGCACUAACCGCGUGCGAAAACAAAGGAAAAUAAAUGGAUUAUGGAAAAAUAAAAAAGAAGGAAAAGAAGAGAAAGAUGGAAAAACUCAGAGAAUUUCGACAAGAGGAGAGGGAGAAGAAUAGACGACAAAAUUUUUUUUAGAAAAGAGAGUCAAAAUUCAGUUAUGGGAAAAAAAUAAAAUAAAAUUCUGAUAACCCCCAAAAUCCCUUAAUCUUCUCCCCUAAUUGCCACUACGCAUCCACUACUCAGAAUCCCCCUAUUACUCAAUUCUAUCCUGAAAUCUAAACAAAAAAAAAUACCCUUGCCUGCAUAGGGAUUUGAACACAAGACCUCCACCAUAAUAUCACACCAUUUAACCACCAAACUCGCAGGCCCAUUCUAAUGUAAUUUACCCAACAAUCAAAUAAAAGCCUACUGAACAAGAGUAAGGCCUGAUUCAUUCAAAAUACCAAAAUUUGCCCAAGCGAAGGCUUGAACUUGGGACCUCCCAAACACUCCCAAAACACAUAACCACUAAAGCUGACAAAUAUUUGUGUUAUAUUAUCACAAUAACGAUAUUAGAAAUUUUGGGGCGUUACAUCUGGUUUGUGCUUCUAUAAUUCAAUUUCAAUUUGCUUUCAUAAACCAAUUAAUUAUUAUAAUCAAUAUGACUAUGCAUCGAGAUAAUGAUAUCUUUCCCUAUAAACUUUGAAUAAUGGAUUCAAUUAGUGAUAUUUGGAAUAUGUGAUAAAUAUUCAAACUUGUGUUUGCUAUGUAUAUAAAUAUUGAGACAUUGAUAUUUUAGUGAUAUGUGUUACAAAGGUGAUUAUGAUUUUAAUGCCCUGUUAAAUGAUGUUAGACAUAGAUUGGGUAUAGUUGGCAUUGGCAUGCCAUAGGGUCAUUGAUAUGGUGAUUUACUAGCCAUUGUUGUUGGGCAAUUCAAGAUGACAAAAUAAACAGUGUAGAAAAAUAGUAAAAGCCAUCAUUGUCGGGCAACCUGGGAUGGUGGAAUAUACAAAUUCUAAAAAUCAUCAUUGUCAGGCAACCCGAGAUGAGAAAAUAAAAUAGAUCCAAGUAUCCAUCCUAAUGUCUAUUGUCGAAUAAUAAUGAUCAGAAUGAAUAAGCAUUGAAAUUGAUAUUAAAAUGUGAAAUGAAUAAAAAAGUUGGAAAAUGUUAUGCUAAGUUAAAGUAGUAAUUAUCAAAGUAAUUGAUACUUGUUAUAUAUGCUUAGUUUAUUCUUAAUGCAAUAUAUUGGAAUCUUAAUUAUAUUAGCAUCACUGAAUAUUCAAUACUCAGCGUAAGAUUAUGUUUGUUUUUGUGCGCAAGAUGUAAGUAGAGUGGUCAAACAUCCAAUUUAAUAACUCAGCUUGGGACAUGCCAUAUUAUCUAUUUUGUAUGUAUAUAUAUGUGUUUGAGUUGAAAUGUCAUGUACCUAGAUUGUUUUGGGCAUAUUGCUUAAGUGGCCAUUUUGGUAUAUUUGGUAUAUUGGCCUAUAAGGUUUUAUAAGUUGAAUUUUAAUAUUUAGUUAAUAGAUAAUUAUGCUAGUUUUUAUAAGUUUGUUUAUGUGAAUUAGUUAGUUAAAUGAUGUUGCAUUGAUGAUUAUAAUUUGAUGAUGUUUGGUUGUGUUUAUAUGUGUUUGAUGGCCUUAAUUGGAUGUAAAGUUUAGGUAUGUUUAAAGUACCAUUUGGUAUGGUUUGAACACUUGAAAAUGUGCAUCUAGAACUAUUUUACCAUUGAGUCUUGAGACCAUAAGAACAAAAUUUACUUUAUAUUUUGAUCCAUAUACUUAGUGUCUCGAAACUUGACAAGCUAGUCUUGAGACAGUCCUAUUAAAGCCUCGAGACAAGUGGUCUUUGUCUCGAGACAGGUGACCUUUGAAGCUAAAUUAGUUUUACCCUGCUCUAGGUCUUGAGACAAGAAUCACUUAUCUUUAGACAUUUAAACAUCAAAACAAAAUUAAGGAAAACAAGGGAGGUUGGUAUUGAGACAUAAAAAACCUUGCAUUGAGACACCACCUCUAAUGUCUUGAGAUAUAUUAACAUCGAAACAAAAAUACCUAAAAUUAAAUAAGGCUUGUCACAAGACAAGAAGUCAUCUGUUUCAAGACACAACAUUGAAAUUUGAUAGUUGAGUUUGGAUUCGAGUCCUAACUCUAAAUUGAACCCUGAUAACCUCGUAACAUGAUGAAUUGAAUCCUAAACUCUAUGAAUGCAUAUAUGUGAGUAUGAUUGAUGAUUAAGUUGGUUUGAAUGAUAAUUAUAAUUUAAAAUUUAUGAUUAUGUAAUGAGAUAGCAUUAGUUGCUUUGACAACGUACUGUGACAUCACGUAUUUGGAUUUGGUGUCCGGGCGGGUGUGGGGUGUUACAGGAGUUCUAAUAUAUUAAAAUUUGAUAAUGUUAAUGAAUAAAAUAAAAAUAUUUAAACUUGAAUGAUCAAAAUAAAAACACACUAAUAAUUAAGUGCUUAGAAAAAAAAUAAUUACCAAAAACAAAAAAAAAGGAAAAAGCCUUUUCCAUUGGAAAUGGAAUGCAAACAUAAAAUCGUAACGAAAAAGCCAUUCCUUCCCUUCCACUAAGGUUCAUAGACAUGAAGGCUCCAUAUGUUUUGAUGUCUUCAUUUCCCAAUUACAAACAAUAAAACAAUGGUGAAGUGGACCUAUGCGUACGUUUCCAUGUAUUUGUUAGACUUACUACAACAUUGAUUUUGACAAUAGAGAAUGAGAGUUGCCAAAUGGGAUCUAAAACAUGGACCAUUCAACAAUUUUUUUCAAACACUGUUGAGGAAUUUUCACAUGGCAUGGUGGUGGCCAAUGAGAGAAUGUUUUCAUGGGAUGUCUCUUGUAUACUAUUUCAGAAAAAUACCACAUACCAUUAAUUAAUCGUAUUGAUUAGAUGAAAUUCGGGAAUAAAAUAACCACUCUUCUAAAUAUUUGAACUAAGGUAGACAACCGAAGUCUAAUUAAUAAAAUUAUUGUUUAAUGUAUCAUUUGGUACUCGAGUUUAUCUUUUUUUUUAAUGCGAUAUCUGUAUUAGUUUUUAUUUAAUUUGGUAUUUAUAUUUGACAAGUAUAUUUUAAUGCCUAAAGAUACUUUUGUUAACUUUUUAGUAUUUAAUUUAGGUUUUAGGGAUAAUUGGAUGAAAGUUAAUUGCUAUUAUUCUUAAGUUUGAACUUUUCAUGAUUCGGUUAAUAGAAUAAAUUUAGUAUUAUUUAAUUUUACGUUUAAAUUGUCAAAUACAAACCACUAAAUUAAAUUCCUAUUAUUUGCAUAUAUAUAUUUUUAAAUUGAUCAAAAUAUAAAAAAUUAAUAUUUGUUGUUUUACAAAAGAAACGCGUUUUUGGUGAUUUCACAAUCACUCGGCCGAUAAGUAACACUAAUUUAAUCAAAAGCGCUCUCUAUAUAUAUAUCAUUGGCUUUAUUCAUUAUAAGGAUGAAGCAACAUGUGAAAGUGUCUCCCACAAAAAAGAACACGUAGAAGAAUAAUGAAGCAAAUUGGAAGGUUUUAGUAAUAAUGUAAGAGUUUUGGGGCAUGUGAAAGGGCUAAGCGAAAUAGCAAUAUCUAAGGGACAAAGCUUUGUUUAAUAGUUUUGGUUUUGCCUCUUAGUCAAACAACACAAAGAUGAUAGGGCAUUGGCCAUUUUGGCUAGCCCUGCACCACCCAUAUUUUACUCUCAUUUACUUCACCUUUCCCUCUUAAUAAUUGAAGCUCAAUUCCAUUAUUUAUUUAUUUUUAUAUUAAAUUCAAAAUUAAAUAAUAUUUUAUGCCCAUUUAUUUAUUUAUAAGAAUAAUUGAUUUGAAUAUCCUAUACUCAUUUUACAAUUUUUGUUUUAUUUUAUAUUUUAUUUCAUGAAAUUUUAUUAUCAUAUGAUAUUUAGGAGUUGAAAAUUAAGGAGAGCCAAAUGCCGAAAACUGACAAAGUAUUUGAUCAUGAAGCCAAACAGAGGUCACAUGGAUUUAACUUAUUUCUACAAUUUUUCCGGCCUCCUUUUGAAUCAUGACAAAUUAUUGGGUCCCUUCCCAUGUUCACAGUUCAAUCUCCAAAUAAUUCAUCUUUAAUACAUUUUAUGUUUUUAUGAAAUUUAGAUGUAUAAAUAAUACUAUCUGAACUUUAUAUAUAUAUAUAUAUAUUUAUAAUGUGGAAUGCUUUAUGCUAUAUUUUUCAUAUUUGUAUCCUAUGAUUGCAUUGUGUUUAAUAUUGUCAUGUUUAUAUACUUAGGUUCUACUUGAGAAAAUGGAAAGAAAAUUCAAAUAGAUAGAAAAUUAUUAUUUUUAUUGUCGAGCUUAACCGCCAUGUACUCAGUUUCAGUGGUAGAUAAAGUGACUUUUCAAUUGAUUACAAGUGACGACUGCAGCACCAAUAACAAUAAAACCCUGCAAAACAUAUAACUUGAUAGUUUUUCUCUGCCUUUUCAUCACAACGAGGGAACCUUUGGAAAUCUUCAGAACUCCACUUUUAGUUGUGUAUUUGUACCAUUUUGAAUCAAGAGUACUCAACGAAAUCAAAUUUCUCUUCAAUUCUGGGAUAUGUCGAACGUCAUUAAGUGUUCUGGCAACUCCAUCAAACAUCUUAACUUUAAUCGUUCCAACACUUGCGAUUUUACACGAAGCAUUAUUUCCCAUCAAAAUAACACCUUCAGACACUGUUUCAUAAGUUGUAAACCAAUCUCGAUUGGGGUUCAUAUGGAAAGUGCAACCAAAAUCAAGGAUCCACUCCUCGCUCAUUUUAGAGUUGUUGGUAGAAGCAACUAGGAGUUCACCACCGCUGUAGUCUUCUACGACAUCAGCUUCACCGAAUUUUUCUAGUUGUUUUCCCUUUUGAUUCGCAGUCUCCAUUUUGAUCUUGUUCUGCAAUUUACAGUACACAGAUUUAAUGUGUCAUUUCUUCUUUUAGAAGUUACAGGUUUUACCUCUAUUUGAAGAUCUUGAUCUACCCUUAGAUUUACUGUGAGGAUUCUGUUCCUGUGUCCUUCCACGACCGUCAUCAGUUUUCCAUUCGUGUCUCCCAUGAAAAAUAAGACCCUCUUCCUAAGAGUCGAAUCUAACCACAAGAUGUUUCAUCUUGUCAUACGAGGGCAAAGAAGCAUAGAUUUCGUCAUCUAUGAGAGAUUCGCGACUAUACAAAAUCGUGUCUCUAAAGGUUGAAUAAGACGGGGGCAACGACCAAAGUAGAAUCAACCCUAAAUCUUCUUUAUCAUACUAAACCUCCAUAGCCUCUAAAUUCGAGAUAAUUUCUUUAAAUACAAUUAAGUGCUCGUGCACAGACGCACAUUCCUCCAAAUGAUGAGCAAAAAGAUGUUGUUUCAUAUGUAACUUACUAGUCAAGGUUUUUGACAUGCAUAGCUACUACAGUUUCCCCAUAAUGUAGCUAUGAUCUUCUCCUUCAUCACAUCCUGAAGAAUUUCGUUAGACAAAUGCAGAUGUAAUUGCGUCAAAACUUUUCGAUCUUUACACUUCUUUUCUUCCUUUAUCAACAUCGAAGACAUCUUAUCUAUCCCUAGCAGGGCAUCCUCCAAAUCCAUUUGCGCAAGAACUAAUUGCGUCUUUAUCUACCACAAUGUGAAUCUUGUGUUAUAAUCCAACAAUAGAAUUUCAUAUUUCAGUGAUGCCAUUACCGUGAUCGAGAUAAGCAACCCAAAAAGCUCUAAUUCCAAUUUGUGAAAAUUGAACAUCGAUAAUGACAAUGAAUCACAAAGAAAGAAAGAAAAAAAAGAAUACAUGGAAUUUUACGUGAAAACCUUUUUGGGAAAAAACUACAGGUAGAGGAGAAGAGAAUUCACUAUGUUGAAUUUGAAGAAUACAAUAGGAGAGACGAUUCCUUCUAUUUAUAGGUUUAAAAACAUUAUUCUAAUCAAAGUCUAAUAGAAACAUUAUCGUAAGGUUGAAACACCUUAUUAAAAUCAAUAUCAAAUAGAAGAGGUGAACUUCUAUUCAGGCCUCAGCCUUCGCCCUCACAGAUCUCCUAUCUUGCCACUUGUAUUUUAUUUUAACAGGAAUUUGGGUCACACAACUCUAACACUUUCACUCUCGAAAAAUUAAUUCAAUAAUUACAACAAACCUAAUAACACAACAUAUAUAAACAAUCGAUGCAAAUAAACCACAAUACGCAAGCAAAAAUAAAAGAUUGAGGCACACAAUUACGUGAAAAACCCUUUUAAAACAAAGGGUUAGAACCACGAAACUUUGAAAGUCCACCAAAAAAGGGCUGACUUUGAAAGGUAAACCACAAAAAAAUCAGAUUGUACACAUUAAAGAUCUCAAGUCUAAUAGCUACCAUAAAAAAUUAGCUCCAACGGACACCAAACAGACAUAUGAUCGAAGAAAAUAUGAAGGCUGGUCUGUGUAAAAAAAUAUGUUUUGUCUCUCACUUUUUCUUUUUCUUUAACUUGCAGCACACAUUUUCAUUUUUUUCAGCAACCCCAUAAACUCUAUAUAUGUAGAGAACAUAGUGGAACCCCCCAUGACUCAACAAAUCUCCCCUCCCUACAUAGUAGGAAUGUUCGCCAUACCGAUGAUCAAGAAACAAGCUUCAACCUUCCCUCUUGGUUAGGUCUUGGUCUAACAACUUAGCCUUAAGAACUUUUCAUAUCCAAUGAUACCUCACAUCAAUAUGUUUAGACGAGCAUUAAAAGUCAAAUUCUUACCAAGAUGAAUAGUACUUUGGCUAUCACAAAAAAAAAGAUAUACCUCUCUUGAGCAAAGCUGAGUUCUUGCACAAAUUUCUUCAUCUAAAGCAAUUCCUUACACGCUUUGGUAGCUGUAAUAAACUCAGACUCAGUAGUGGAUAAAGCAACACAUUUUUGCAAUCUAAAUUUCCAAACCACAGCUCCCCUUGCAAAAGUGAUCAAGUAACCCAAAGUAAAUUUUCUCGAGUCAAUGUCUCGACCUUAUUUGAAUCUGUAUAACCAACUAGAAUGAGUUUCUCAUUACUGCAACAAAGUUUCAAGUUGUAAGUGCCCCUAAGAUAUUUCAUAAGCCACUUCACCAUAUUUUAAUGCUCUUUUCUUGGAUUAGAAAGAAACUGACUAACAGUACCAAACACAUCGGCUAAAUCCAGUCUUAUGGAUACCAUUGCAUACAUCAAACUACCCAUGGCUAAAGAGUAAGGAACUUUCCGCAUGUUUUCCUUAUUUUGUUGAAAGACUUUUCUUGACACUCAAAUUGAACUACAUAACAAAGAAAUUUUCUCACCACUUUAAAUUUAUCCAUAUUAAAUAUUUGAAGUACUUUUUUAAUGUAGCUCUCUUGUGAUAACCAUAACUUCUUGGUCUUUCUAUCAUGUGUCAAUUGAAUGCAAAUAAUUUACUUUGCUGGACCCAAAUCCUUCAUCACAAAGGAAUUAAUCAACUCUUGCUUCAACAUGGAAAUUCUAAAAGCAUUAUGACAAAAAAUAAGCACAUCAUCAAUAUAGAGCAAUAGGAUAAUAAAAUCAUCACCAAAGAAUCUUUAAACAAAAACACAAUGAUCGAAAGUAGUCUUCUUGUAGCCAUGCUCCCCUAUAACAAACUCAAACUUCUUGAACCAUUGCCUCAAAGCUUGCUUCAAACCAUACAAACUCUUCUUCAAUCUACAUACGUAAACCACUUCCCCUUGUGCAACAAAACCCUCUAGUUGUUCCAUCUAAAGCUCUUCCUCCAAAUCAUCAUGAAGGAAAGUAGUUUUCACAUCUAUGUAAAUCAACCUCUAAGUCAUAAUAAGUAGUUAAACUCAAUAUAGUUUUGAUAAAUGACAUCUUCACAACUGGAGAAAAUAUUUCCUCAAAGUUAAUCCAUUUUUUCUGACUGUAACCCUUGACGACCAGUCUAGCUUUGUAUCAUGGAGUUGAAUUCUCUUCUUACUUCAACCUAUAAACCCAUUGAUUUUACAAAGCUCUCUUACCCUUUGGUAAUUUCACCAACUCAAAGGUAUGAUUGUCAUGCAAGGAUUGAAGUUCAUCCUUCAUAGUUUUAACCCACUUAUCUUUGCAUUCACUCUCUAUAUCCUCUUUAUAACACUUUGGUUAUCCCCCGUCAAUCUAAAUAACAUACUCAUCAAUAAAAUAUCUCAUAAAAUAUUGUUAAUCUCUAGUUGAUCUUUAAGAUGGAACUGUUGGUGGAGCUAUAAGUGCUUGGUGUUGAUUAUUCUCAACCUCAUCCGAGGGAGCAUCAAAAUAAACUAUACCCUAAUGGUCAUCCAUGUUAUCUUCUUGCAUAUCAUCCUAGAUAGGAUUCUACAAAGAAGCUAGAGGAACCGGAUCCAUGUUGAUUAAGUCACCACUACUUUGUGGAUCUAUCUUCUUAAUGUUUUCAAUGGUCUGAUCUUUAAAGAAAAACCACAUCUCUUUUUAUCACAAGUUUCUUUUCAAUCAAAUCAUACCAUUUGUAUCCAAACUCAUCAUAACUAUAACCAAUGAAGAUGCAUUAUUGAGUCUUGGCAUUUGAAUUAGAUCUCUUAUCUUUCAGAACAUGAACAAAUGCCUUGCAACUGAACAUACACAAGUGAUCAUAUGACACAUUUUUACUAAACCAAACCCUAUCUGGUACAUCACCCUGCAAAGGAAUAUUAAGAGACAAAUUAAUCACAUGUGCAACUAUAUACAAAGCUUCAGCCAAAAAGGAUCUAGACAACUUUGCAUCUGAAAGUAAACAUCUGACUCGCUCAAUGAAUGCUCGAUUCAUUCUCUCAGCCAACCCAUUCAACUGUAGAGUCUUCGGUAAUGUUUUUGAAUGUCUGAUUUCCUAUAACCGAUAAUAAACAUCAAAUGGUCCCUUGUACUUACCACCAUUAUCAGUAUAGAUACACUUCAACUUCUUCCCAGUCUCUUUCUUGAUAAAAGCUUGAAAUUGUUUGAACACAUCAAAUAUAUGGUCUUUUCUUUUAGAAGCAUAAACCCAAAGCUUCGUCGAAUAUUCAUCAAUGAAAUUCACAAAGUAAAGUACACCACCAUGUGACCUAACCUUCAACGGUUCAAAAACAUGAGAAUGAACGAACCUUAGGAAAUUUGACUUUCUUGAAGGAGGAUGAUGCUUAAACGAAACUCUUCUCUGCUUUCUAACUAAACAAUGAACAUAAUUAUUAAGUGUAGAAUUCUUCAAACUUGAAAAUAUAUUCUUCUUAACCAAACAACUAAGCCCCUUGUCGCUUAUGUGGCUAAUUCACUUAUGCCACAACUUCUUUGUUAGGAAAUGUGUCCAUAUUGUAGUAAACAUGUGACUGUUUUCUAUAUAUUUGAACGAUAAAUAAAUAAAUAAAGUUAAUUUCACAUUUCAUUGUUAUAUCUUUUGUGUUUUUGUCUUUCAUGUUUUGCAUACAUAGCAAAAUUGUGAUAAGAAAAUAUUAGUUCAUUGAUUAUCUAAGUUCAAACUGAUGAUAAGUGGCACUGUAAGAACGUUUAGAUUGUGAGAAAGACAACUUACAUUAGUAGAUAAUCUAAAUGAACCCGUAAUUCCAUAAAAUAAUCAAAGUGAGCAUUUGAUUCAAAUACUUAGAAGGAUCGUUAUGUCGUUUACAAUUCCAAUUGGAGAGAUGGCUAGUCUUGGCUGUUGGAGCAGUUGACUCCACGGGUAGAGACCUAGAUGUACAAAUUGGAAGAAUGAUAUAUUAGACUGGACCCAAGUUGAAUUAAUUCUAAAUCUGUUCGUGAAGUAAUUCACUCGUGAUGUUCAUAGUGUGAUUUACCUAAAUCCUAAGUUAGUCACUAAUCAUGCGUAUGUAACUCAUGCUUUGAUAUAAGUGGAGGCUUAUGCUCUAAAGAUAAUCAAGCUCAUAGUUGGUAUGUUGGGUACAUUACUUGUGUAUGGCAUGACUUUACUAGAAACAAUGGUAUUCAUAGCUUGAUUAGAGAGUUAAAGAUAUCCUCUCAUUGGCAUUGUGUGUAUUGAUAAAUAUGGAAUGUGGCCACAAGUUGCUUGUUCUCGAACGAGAAAUUUAUCACGGUUAUUUAUUGACUGUGAUCAUAUUAAACAUUAAGAAGACACAAUGGUGACAAUGAGAUAAAAUAUGAUUGUAUUGAGUGAACGGAUUUAACUCAAAGGAAUCAAGGAUAUCAUAUGAGGGUAACACACACAUGGCGAGGUCAUUGGACAAUACAGUUGGAUGAAUUUCUUUUGUAAAGAGUAUACAAUAAGGAGUUUUCAAUCAUGAUACUUAUUGUGGACUGACUUCAUGAUUAAAUAAAUUGUGAAUUAUCAGUACGAUGCUUUUGGACAUAAUUGCAAUUACUAGAGCCAAAUUGCAUAUGUCUGAUUGGUCCCUUCACUAGCUCAACAAAAACUUUAUCGGAUUGCAUUUGAAUCAAAAGGAAAUUUUAUGACUUUGGAAAUAAUUUAAUUAAGUCGAUUUAUUCGAUGUGGAAUUAAAUUGGACGGUCGCUAGAAUUGUUCAACUAGAUAAUUUGAUUAAAGAAUUAUCUUAAAAAAUUUAAUUUUGGAAAAUCUCAGUGACUUUUAGGAAAAUUAAUUUUGAUAACGGAAAAUUAAAUUAAUUAAAAUAAAUAUGACAUUUCUGGAAAUUAAUUUUCAAGUCAAACAAUUGGCCCAAUAGGUAAUUGAACUUAAAAAUUGGAAUUGAGAACGAAAGUUGGAACCGAGAGCCAAAAAUUGAGAUUGAGACCUAAAACUAGUCGAACCGGGCUCGAUAUGUGAAACCGAGUCGACGGUCCAACUGAUUGGGUUGUCACUAGCUUGGAUCGAACUGACUCGGGGUGCCGUGAGGGUGACGCAUCUACAAUGACUCCAUCGGGCACGAAGGUGCCGUUGACUGGGACAAUAGCAUUCUGGUGGCUGGCGGAUGGUCAGCGACGACGGUUUUUCUAUGGUGAAGCAGUGGAAGAUUUACACUUCUACUGGGACUCUGCCGAAUAAUUUGAUUUUAGAUUAACUAUUCUAAAAAUAAUAUUAUUUUAAUAAAUUGAUUAUUAAAUUUAAUUUAAUAUUUAUCUUAUAGAUAAAUAUUUUGUUAAUCAAAUAGAUUGAAUAUUACAUUUAAUCUAAUACUUAUCAAGAUAAGUAUUUAAUUUAAUAUUAAAAUGGUCAAGUUUGAUCUUAGUUGAACUCUCUAAACUUUCUCUAUAUAAAGAGAGUCUUGUGUCAUUAUUUUUUCACAGACUUGAAUUCAAGAGAAAGUUGUAGAGAAAAUUUGUUUUUUGAGGAAAUUAUUUAAGAAGAUUCAUAGAGAUAUUUGUAUUAUUUACAACUUGACCAAAAAGUUUAGAGAAAUUAAAAAAUUUCAUUAUUGGUAAUUUUGUGGAAAAUUUUCAAAUUCGAAGUGAGCACUAACUCAGCAGAUGUGAGCUUGAGAAUAGUGAAGAAGACUACUCGAUCGAAGCAUUUAUCCUAGACAAAUCGAAAAUAUAAAAUUUUGAUUAAGUGUUUAUUACUUUAGAUAUCACAACCAAGUUCAUGUUUUUGGAAAAAAAUUAAAACUCUAGUUUUUCCCUUAAACUUAUUUUCCGCUUCAUUUUCCAGCACUUUGAGUCAUCAUUUGUUUUUUUCACAUUCACCAUACCUCGGGAAGUCGAAGCCUGCAUCAAAUAUAAGUUUGAAUUCUUCUUCGCUCGAGCUACGACCAAGAAGCCUUUAGUCAAUUUUCACUGACCCUCACUGAAAAUGUUACGGAAACCAUCAUCAUCAAGCUUUCUUGCAGAAAUCAAAUUUAAACGAAUAUCCUGUGCAUGCAUAGCAUCUUUAAAUGUAAACUUGGUUCCAUUAUUAGUGACCAAGCUAACAUCUCCCAUGCCAACAACUUGUACCAAGCUAUCAUUACCCAUCUUCAAUACCCCAAAUUCACUAGAACUAGAAGAUGUGAUGAACUCCUUCCAUGAUGUAACACAAAGUGAAACACUGGUAUCUAUCACCCAACUAGUUUCAUUAAAUGCUAGGUUGAUCAAAUUCUCAUCACAAAAGGACUAACAUAUCAUUAGUGGUAGUGGUAGUAACACGCUCAAGUUUCUUAUUAUCCCUUCUCUCUUAUUUAACAUCACCGUCUAUAUUCUUUCUUUUCCAUUUUUAGCAAUACUUCUUAAUAUGGUCUUUCUUGUCGCAAUGAUGACACUCAAUAUUCUUAUAAAAUGAUCUCAACUUGCUUUUACUUUUUUCUCCAUCAUUUUCACCUUUGUCUUUUCUUCUAUUGCUAAAUUUUGGUAACUAGAACCUCAGAUUGUGAUGAAGAACCUUGAGACCUUCUUCUCAUUUCUUCAUUCAACACACCACUCUUAGCAAUUUCCAAGGUCACAAUACCUUUCGGAGAAACAUUAAUAAAUGAAACUCGAAACAUUUCUUAAGAGUUCGGUAAAGUAGCAAGCAACCAAAGCCUUGUAAUCUCAUCAUCAAAUUUAAUUCCCAUACAAAGUAGUUGAAUAAAAAAACCUUGAAACUCAUUCAUGUGGCUGACUAUAGAAUUUCCUUCAACGUCAUCAUUCUCUUAAGCAUGAGCAACUUGUUAUUUUUGGACUUCGAAGCAUACAAGUUUUCAAGCUUGUUCCAGAAUGUACCAUAUGUGUCUUUCGAUCAAUUUGGUUGUAGACAUUCUCUUCAACAAAUCGCCGAAUAAAAUCACACAUCUGUUGAUGCUCAAAUUCCCACUCUUCAUCAAUUUUUGACUCGGGGUUUUUGAGUAACAAAAACAUGAAAGUGCAAAGCUUUAACAAAAAGAAGACCUUUCAUUUUGUUCUUCCAAAGUUAAUAACUUGUAACACCUUCAACUUGGCCUAAAUUAUUGAGUCAAGAUCUCAAGUGUUACUACCCACAGUACAUAAAAUUUUUUUGAAACAAUUGACAAAUCCUCCUUACUUAAAACAUUUUUCUUAUUAUUUAAUUAAAGACACAAUUUUAGAGAAACAAAAGAAAGUAUUUAAAAAUAAAAAUAUUACAUCAGACUUGAUACAACUCAUUACAACACAAAAGGUUAUUAAAGACAGACUCUUAGGAUGAAAUCCUACAAUAUGCCACUUCCUAUUGUAUGCAUAAUAACUCGGUUCGUCGCUAUCUUGGAGUAAUCCUGGUUUCAUCUCUCCUGGUGCAUUCUUUUACUAUACUACCUAAAACAUAAACAUAACAUUUGUUAGUUUAAGAGAAUUUAGUGAGAGUUAAUACAAAAUAACUUAGUGGAUACUUUUAUAGUAUCUAAUGAAUACAUGUGCACCAACUACCAUUCUCAACAUCUUACUUCUGUUUCGGCAAAUGCUUUCACAAUUACAGGCUUGCACUUACACACUAACUAUCAUACUCUUAGCGUGCCAGUUCUCUCUUAACUACCUGAAUGACUUAAGGUCCUUCGAGACAUUUCAUUAAUCUCUUCUUUCUCUUAAGACCACAAAAGUAAUUUUCAAAAUAAUAUACCUUCAGAGCCCACUUUAUACGAACCAUCACUUCACACAUACACUUAUUCCAGAACAAUUGUUCAUAGAUAUUGUUUACUGGCGGAUUCUUACACCUUGACGGAUUCCCACAAUGAGUUGGAUACCAUUUGUUUACCAAAUUAAAUCAUUUUCUAAUUCAAACUCAUUACAUGCCUAUAUUGAUAAUGAAUUAUCCAUAUCGUUCAGAAUAAUUACCCAUAUCUUUGUUACAAAAUAGAAAUCUACCCAAGGUGACAAACAACUCAGAUUCUAUAAGAUUUCAGAGUAAAACAUAUUACUAUUCAGAUAUGGAGGAUAGCAGAUACUCAGAUUUUAGCACUAUAUAAUGCAAUCGAUCUCAAAUUGACAAUUUCUUAUGUCUUUCAUAACUACAAAUACAUCCAUAUUCAAAAUUAUCAGAUUACCAUGACGGAUGCCCCUUUUUUUAACAUACAAAUACACAUUGCUUUUUGAGAACUUCCUUAAAAGCUUAUUCGCUUACAUCACAGAUCUAAUUCAACCAAAUAAACUUCAGACUAAUCAUAACCUUAUCAUAACAACAUAAUUCACAGAACACUCAGAAUUUAUCCAAAACUUACUACAAGGGCGGAUAAUCAAAUUCUACCAUACAAACUUAGUAUAGUACGCCACAAGGGAAACAUACUGAAUCACAUGUUUACUAUAUUGACGGACUUUCACAGAAGGUGCCAUGGGUGUCUCCCUCAUGGACUUAUACAUAAAUUUCAUGUGUCGCGAUCUAUCAGUUCGAUCUACACAUUAUCGAAGGCUACACCAUGAACAUUCAUACAGUCAUAUCUUGCCAUGAGUCUCAGCCACAUGGAAUUACACACUUUCAUGUAUCGUGAUCUUCCAGUCCAGUCUUCAUUUUACUAGAGGCUACACCAUGAGUGUUUUCAUGUUAUAUAUUGCCAUGGGUCUAACCCACAUGGUUUUACACUUAUUUUCGUAUCGUGAUCUGGCAGUCUGGUUAGCAUUAUAACUUUCCUACCAGAGGCUUCACAAAAGGAACAUUACUUAGAAUUCACUUACUAGAUUGUUCACAUACCUGGUUGAUUCAUAAUUUUUCUUUAUGUUAAACUUUACCUACAUACUUUCCAAUCAACAUUCUUUUCAACAAAAAAUUAACAAAGCAUCAUAGCUCAUAUAUCAUAUUUACUAUUCUUCCUAUACUUAUCAAUUAUUAGAGAUGCUGUUAUCAUUUAUAUAUAUUUACUUUUACUUGAACAGUUUUCAUGCAAGAGUCAAGAUGGAGACUCACUUGAUACUCACCCACUCUAAAUAAAAGCUCCAUACUCAAACAUCCUUAUUGAACCAACAACAACAAUUGCUUUAAGAAUGUACGAUCACCAUUAAAAUGCAUUCACAAACAAAUUACUAUCAUCCCAAUCACUGGCAACCCACAUGCAAAACUUACUAUUCAUAUACCUCUUACAGACUUACUCUUUCAGAAUUUAGCAUGCAGAGCUAUAAUACUUACCUAGAGAUGGAAUGACCACGGAUUAAACCAAGAACCUUUACAUCCAACUUAAUGAGGAAGAGAUACAAUUGAAUUUAAGAAAAAGAAUCAGAGAGUAGCAUUUUGGAUAAAAAGGAGAACCUUUUUUUAGAACCCUUUUCACUCAUAUAUAUAACCUAGCCCUGCCUAUCAGAAUUCAACAAGUGUCACUUAAUUCAAAAUUUGUCUUCUUAAUGGCCUACAGAUUCCGAGAGAAACAUAAAUGAAAAUCAUGCAUAAUAGAUAUUAGAGCAGUCAAUCUAGUCGGCUCCUAACCAGGUCAUUUUAUAAUCCAACCAUCACAAUACUAAGACAAAUAGGGCAUACUAUGCAUUUGGCUAUAAUUCACACCAUAAAUACCAUUUCACUUAGAAAAAUAUUUAUCUUUUAAUAGCAGAAUAAUCUGAAAUGGAAAUCUUCACUUACUUACACGACGAUUACUAUAUGCCCACACAUAUUUGCCAAAGGAAACAAUUGUGCGGAUAACACUUCGCCAAACAGAUUAUUUCACUACUACACGCAUGAACCUUGGAUAUGCCAGAUUUUGGGUGUGACAUAACUUGUGUCAUUCAAAAUAAUCAUCUUAAUAGUGCUAAUUUCCACAAUUACCGAGCACAAAAAGUCCACAAAAAAUUCUAUUAUAAUCAAAGUCUUGCUACAAGAUCACAACCAAGCCACAAAAAAGAGUAUACAACUCAAACAAGGCUAUCAACAAAUAAUCUCAAGCAAACUUUAAGAGAAAAGUUGAGAAUAUCACCAAAAAGGGGCUGGCUUUGAAAGCUAAAAACCUAAAUCUACAGUAUCCCAAACGAAAAUCAAACCAUACACAUUAAAGAUCUUCGAGUCUUUUAGCUACCGUAAAAAAAUCAACUCCAACGAGCAUGUAUAAAAUUUUCAUGCCUAAAUCCAAAUCAAAUUUAAAUAAUUUUAAUUUUUUAAAAUAAAAUAAUUUUAUAUAUUAAUAUUUAUAUAUUUUACAAUUAAAUUUAAAUAAAUAAAUUUUAUUAUUAAAUUUUAAUUCAAAUUAUUAGAGACAACCAAGAAUUUCAAACAUAGACCAUAAAACGAAACAAAAAAAAUAACUAUUUUAUUUUUAAAUUAAUGAAAAUUUUCUGAAUACCAUUAAAAAAUAAAAUUUAAACCGAAUUUAGCGAGACAGGUAAAAUCCAAUUGGAGGUUCAAUAUGCAAAUGUGUGCAUUCGGUUCGUUAUAUAGCGAAGUGAACUAAAAGAGUAGAAAAAGAAGUUGAAGGGCAGACACAGAUCAUUGAAUAACCCUAUCCUCAGUUUCACGUGAUUGGCUAUUCGUCAUCACAUGUAUUUCAUUUUCAUUUAACCUUUAGAGAAAAAUAUAGCUUUAGUGAUAGUAUUUUGGUAUUGAUGUUAUUAAAAAAAAAUUAAACAACAAAAAAUACGAGUUAAAAACCUUUUAAAGGUUGUAGAUUUAAAUAGAUUUAAGCUUUUUAACCAUAUUUGGUAUAUUUGAUGGAAAAGAGGAGUGUUAUGUUAAAUAAUACUCUGUUUCAAAAUGAUGGAUAAAAAAUAGAUGUACAUCAAAAUAUUUGAUUGUUGAAAAUUGUGAUAUAUAUUACUCUUCUUACCACUUGUUUGUUUUACUUAAAAAAUAAGUAUUGUUUGUUGCGUCUUACAUUUAACAUCUUUAUUUUAUUUUAUUUUAUGUUUUUUCCUACUUUUAGCAUAUAUUUCAUUUUAUUUUCUUGCAUUUGAUUAAAAUUUUUAAAAUAAUAUAUAGAUUUCAUAAAAUUUAAAAAAAUUGCCUCAAAUUAUAUAAUUUAUAAGAUUUUAUAUAAAUUGAGAAAAAGAAUCUUAUUCCAUAUAAAUUUUUUUUAAAAUUUGAAUAGAAUUUCAACAAAUUUUAAUUUUUUUCUAAAGAAUGUAUAUUUUAUUCGGAAUAAAUUGUUAAGUCCAAGCAACACGAAAUAAAGGUGCUUCAAUCUAUUGAAAGCAAUCACAACAUUAGUAGAUAUUUUAAAAUCAACAAUAUGAAAAAAAAUAAUCCGAUAAAAGCAAUACCACAAGAAUCAACCACUUGAAAUAUUUUGUUGUUGAAUGAGGAUAAAAUUGGAACAAAAUAAUUAAAGUUGAGUAAAAGAUGAGUUAUAUUUAAAACAUAUCGUUACAUAGGUGAUAGCUAUCACCUAACUUAAGUAAAAAAGUCCCGUGACCUUGAUUUUUAUCAAGGCUACUAUUUACCAAUAGGUAAACAAAAGAAGAAGGUUAUGGUUAAAUGAAGAAAGAGAGGAGGAUCUUUAGGUUUGGUUAGAGAUCUCUUUGGAGAAGAGUAGAAUGGUUAGAGAAGAAGGGAUCAACAUGUAGUGUCUAUGAGCUAUUUGCAUGGCCCCUUUUAUAUUCUUUGCUACAUGUCCUAAGAUUGUUGAUGUGGAAGUUAGAUUUGAAACCAUUGGUAGUGACUGUGAUGUUACAUCCUAGGAUGAAACAUGUUAAGACAACUAGCAAUCAAUUACUUCGGGCCUCCUUGUGGUCCUUAUAUAGCUUUAGCGAAGGUGCAUAGUUCUGAAGUUUGCUAGGCUGUGGUUUGCAAACUAGCUGUGGGUUAUGGUAUCAUUGGUUCCAUUGGGAUACACAUGCCAAGCUCUUUAUGGGUGCUCUAUGAGGCUCUCUACAUAAGUAUAACAAUUUCCCCCAUAAGUAGUAAGGUUAUAAAAUGACCUUCACAAGCCUAGUGAAGAAUUCAUAGCAUCGAUGUUUGUGAUGGAAGUGUUUUGAAGUUUAUGAUUGUGUGUUAUACAUUGUUUAGGUGUUCUCAUUUUAAGCCUGAAUAUAUAUAUGAAAUUUGUAAUUUGAAUUUUUAUUAAUUGAAACUUUUAAGCAGAUUAAAUUUAUGGCGGGAGAAAUAAUUUUUAUAUGCACGUUUGUUUGUGUUCUUGGUGUAGUCUAGUUUGGUAUGUUUCAAUCACUUUAAUUUCCUUAUAUUGUUAUUUGAUUUUACUUUUACUGUUAGCAAAACAUGGCUCCCAGAUUGCUUAGUGUUCCUAUUGAAUGUGAGGGAUUUGAGUGUUCAAUGUCUAUAGAAGAGAAGUGGAAAUUAUUAGAAUGUAAAGGAAUUAUGUGUUUUAAUAAUUUCAAAUACAAAUGUUUUGAAGAGGAAGCAUCGAUUGAGUGAUAUGAACAAUCUUAAGAGGGAAAAUCUUUGGGUUAUUUUUCCCUCAUAUGUUCUUUAAGUAAGGUUUCAUCUACCACUGCAUCCUUUAUUCAUAGAAUUGUUAAAUUCAUAUGUGGUGGCUCUUGAGCAAUUCAUGGAUUCUUUGUGGUGGACUUUAAUAGUGUAUUUCUUAAAUUGUCAGCUACAUGGAGAAGAAGCUUCUGUAAAUGUAUUUAGAAUAAUACACAUUUUAACCUUACUAGUGAAAGUAAUCAAAAGGGGUUUGUAAUGUUAGCCACUUGGAAGGGAGGGAAAGCUGUUGUAGAUAACACCAACAUCAACAUGCGUUUAGUAAGGGAUAAACAUUUUAAAAUUGAGAAAACUUACGGGGAAUUCCAUUUUCCUUUGGCCUGGGUUAAGCCUUCCACUAAAAGAAGCACUUGGGGCCCUCAUUUAAUAAAUGUCAUAGAAGAGGGUCAAUUGAAAAAACUACAAACAAGUCCACUGAUUAGGUAUGAGCAAAUCAAAGCUUGAGAAAUGUUUGGAUUUUAUUUAAUGGAGAAAAGUCCUAAUGGUUGGGAGGAUGUGAAAUUUAAUACCCUUAGCGAAGUUUAAAUCGAUGGGAUAAAUCUAUGUAAUGAGGAUGGGCAUAUAAGGACAAUAGUGUAUUAACAGAGAUUCUCUUGGUUGAGCGCUUUUGGAUGUACCCACGUAAAAGAGUAGAAAUCCUGUACAAAAGUUGUUAAAUAGGCAAUAUCUGCAAGUAUACAGGUUAGGUUGUAAUAUAGUCACAACGAAGUAGGUGAGUACUUCGAGAAUCGCACCCAAGGGAGACGAGCACUAAAUUAAUCCUAACCUAAGCACAAAUAGAACUAAUUAGUACAUUAAAUAAAUUAUAUUACGACUAAACAUAAAGAGAAAGUUUUUUAUAACUAAAGAAACAAAAUAAUAAAAAUGGAAAAAACUUUGGGAAAUUUUCUAUGAUAACUUAAUCAAAUUUGAGCAUAGGUGACUAGCUCACUUCGGUAAUCAUAACCAACUGUUGCUUCGAGUUCCCUAUUCAAUCAACUAGUCAUUACCCUAGCAGGAUCUCUUGAUCUUCCACUAGAAUAACGAGUCAGCAAGAACUACUUAUCUCUCGACCUCACAGUCCAAACUAGUUUGGGGUAAAGGUGCUCACAGAUAGGCCAUACCAAUUUUGGGUUAAUUCCCAGCUAAAUGACUUCCUAGGGUCGUCAAGCCUAGGGUUUAAAUUCUUCCUUUCCCAAACAGCUGAUCUGCUAAGAAAACGCUGUACAACAAUCAAUUAAUCAUACCUCCAUUCACUAAUCCUCCACAAAAGGAUUAGUUCCUCAUGGAUCUCAAAAACAUAAUAAACUUGAUAUAAAAUAUGAACAUGAAGACUAAAUCAAGAUAUGGAGUUUUAAGAAAAGCCUGAAUUGUAUUUAAUUAAAGCACGAAAUCCAUAAAGAGUUGAUUGAGUUCCACAAAUUAGAUUUCCUGACAAAUGCACAACUGAAAAUAACCGAAAGCCUAAGAAAAGGAAAAAAAACUGAAACUAUAAAUAAAAAUAUACAAUAUGAAAAGCUCUCUAUAACAAGUGCUAAAUGAGCCUAUUUAUAGAGUUAGGGUUGUCCUCGUCCUCAACCAUUGGUCAGCUAAUGCUCUCAUUUUUAAUAUUUGUGCAGCCAAAAUGCCAUUGGCUCGUAAGUAUCUUUCAUACAGGACCGAUGUUUCGACACCCUAGUGCUUGUGCCGCAACAUCGAAGGCAAUAUGCUCGUACCUAGGGUAGCUUUAAGGGUAUGUCAUGACAUCCCUUAGUGGUGUCGUGUUUCUAAAGGCGGCCUUGGAGUUCUUGCUAUUUGUUCCCUAUGUUGCGACAUCAAACUCCCUAUGUUGCAACACAACGACUAGUAUUUAGUUGGUACACCUUUUAAUGAUCUCCUGCACACUCACAAAGUAUGUUAGCAUUCGACCUCUAAUGCCAAUAAGUGACUAAAAUUACACUUUUUACUGAAUGUAAACAAAACUAAGAAAACUUGAUUAAAACAUAAUAAAAAUGCUUGUAUUCAAGAUCUUUAAAUGUGAAAACUAGUUUAAUCUGCUACACUGAAUUACGGUAGAUCAUUGGGAUUAUGCGAAUAACCCAAAAAUUAGUUAUCUAAGUAUGCCUUUUGUCCCAAACGUAGAUGGGAUUAUCGAGGCCAGAAAGGAAAAAGUAGUGUCACUUCUAUAAGGAUUCCAAGUGUUUUAAAAGUAAAUAAAUUUUUGCAGGUGAUUGAAGCUUCAUGAAAAUUAUAGAUGUUACUUAAAAAUCAUCUGAAGAGAGUGAAGGACCUAAUCUUGAGCUUUGCACGAAAAGAAGAAGAGAUUCGUAUUCACAUUUACUUUCUUCUAUUGGAGAAGGCCCUUUAAUUGGAGAUGUGAUGAAUAUUGAGUCUCGCACAGGCUUUGAUACACAAUAUAUUAUUGGAGGUAUUACUUCAGACUUUCUAAUUUGUUGAGUUUAUUUUUUCAUGUUUUUGUAUUUUCUAAGCAAGUGAACUAUUAUAACCAAGUGAAUCAUUCUCUGUGAAAGUUUAAUUGGUUUGUGAGAUUUAGAGCCAAUAUUCAUCCCUUGAAUGUUUGAUUGGGUUGUGAGAUUUUUGAUGAAAUUCUCCGUGAAAGUUUUUGUAACAACCUUGUUUCGAGUGGUGUAAGAAAUACAUUUUUGAGACCUCAUUAUUGUAAACCAAUUUUAUAAAUAUUAAAUAAGGAUAUUUAUGGAGUUAUUGUAUAGAUGAAUUGAAAUUUGGUUAAGUAAUUUAGCCAAAAUUGUGGUUAAUUAAGUCCCAAGGACUAAAUUAUAAAAGUCCAAUUGCUAUAAAUUUUUAAUUAGGAAAUGACUGGGCGACUUAGAUAGCAAUUAUCCAAAGGGCCAAAAUGGUUAAUAAACAAUUUUGACUUAUGUUUUAGUGGACGGUAAUGAUUUAUGUCAAUUAAAUUAAGUAAUUAAACAUUAAUUAAGUAAAACAAUAUUUAAUUAAGUAAAUAAAAAUGGAUUAUCGAAUUAAACUUAGUAUAAAGUUUAAAUUUAGUGGAGAAUGGCAAUCUUUUUCAGUCUAAAACUGACCUCCAUGGCCAAGAGAAGCACGAAACUUUCAAAAACCCUUAAGACAUUUGUCCAUCCAAUUUCAAGUAUGUCCUUAGCCAUUUUUCUUUUCUUUUUAUGAAAAUUGAAUCAUGAGAGCUUGAUUUAGCUAGCCCACGUACUAAUUUGUGAAACUGUUAAAGUUUUAGAGAGUUUCCAUUGUUUAUUUCUUGAAGAAUUAGGUGUGAAAUUGAUAGAAAUUAAGCUUAGUUUUUGAAAAGGACUAAAUUGUAAAGCUUAAUUGUUAGUUACAUUCAUUAGGGACCAAAUUGAAUAAAAUGAAAAAUUAUUAUGAAAUUUUGGUAGGAAUAGAAAUUAUGAGGUCCCUAAUGAAUAUAUGUGAAAUCAGAUUUUAAUUCGAAGUUUUAUAUUGAAAGUUAUGCUUGUUAGAGGUUAAGGGCUAAAUUGAAGAAAUUACAAAAUACGUGUUGCUUUGUAUUUGAAUGCGAUUCAAAUGGAACUUGAUAUUGUGUUAUUAUUGAAUUAUUAUUCAUAGCUAAAGGCAUCAUUAGGCUAUUGAGAGGGAAAGGAAAAGCGAGAGCCGACGAUGAGUGAUGCGAGCUUUUAGAUUGUAUUUCUAUGAUUCAGGAUAAAUUUAGUUAUUGCAUAUUCAUGAAAAUUUUCAUUAUAUGGUAUUGAGGUGGGUUUUCAAUGGUUAUUUGAAUUGAAUUGUAAUGGUUGAGAUUGAAUACCGAGAUAAGGACUAAAUUGAAUAAAAUAGAAAUUUCAUAAAUUAAUUUAUAUAUGACAAUUGGUGUGAAUUUGUGAUGGAAUAUGCUAUAAGAUAUGAUAAAUUGAUGAUAAAUCAAGAAUGGUUGAAAGUGAGUUGAUCUAUAUAAAAAAACCAGAAAUUUGGUUACCUUAUUAGUUGUUCAAACUAAACUGGAAAUAGUUGGUAUGCCAUAGGGUCAGGAUAUUAUUGUUGGGCAAUCUAGGGUGGUAGACUGUACUUAUAGAGUCAUCUUUGCUGGGCAACCCGGGGUGACAGAAUAAUCAGAUUGUGAAAAGCAUCGUUAUCAAGCAACCUGGGGUGGUAGUAUAUACAUGUUCAGCGUCAUUGUUGCCAGACAACCUGGGCUGAUAGAUCUGUGUAUCCGUUCUAAGUCUGUGUUUGGUGAAUAGGGUUAUAAAACAUGAAUUGGCUAAUUUGUAUAUGAAAUGAGUUAAAAUGAGCCCCGAGGGCUGAUUGGUUAUGAACAAGUUAAUAAACUUGGAAAUGAUUGGAAAAGAUGAAAUGAAAUUGAGUAAUUGUGCUUAUAAUUGUUAAAUGUAUAUAGAUAAGUAUAUGUUUGCAAUUAUUUAUAUGAAAUGACUAUGUAAUAGGUGGAUUGAAUGAGAAAUGACAUGAUAAGUAUGAGAAAUAUGCUAAUGGAAACUUUUGACAUGAAAUUUGUAUAUGAAUUGGUGUAAAUUGAGUUUUAAAUUUGAUGUAAACAUUGAUUUAACUUAUAUUAUGUUGUCUUGAAUCAUGUAAAUACCAUUAAGCUUUAUCACUCAACGUAUGGUUUAUUUUCUUCAUGCGUAUGUAUAGGUAAUCCUCAAGAAUAUGAGAAGUGAUCCUCGACUCAGCAAAGUUUAUAUAGUCCCGUUUUGUUAAAUAUAUGGCAUGUACCUAGGUUGAGUCGAUUUUUGGUAUAAUAUGCUAUCUUGUGAUCUUUUUGAAACUAGAAUUGGUAAUUUUGGGUAAUGGAAAAACCAAAUAGUUGUAUAGAUUAUUUUGGUAUCCUUGAAAUGCAUGAGUUAAUACUUUAAAGCUAGUAGUUGGCAUGUGGUAAAUGUGUUUGGUAAACACAUUGGAAUGAUGUUUUGAUAUAAUGUGUAUGUGUAAGUUUUGUUCAUGCUUGUGAAUGAGCAUUAAGUAAUAAUAUUUUGCUUAUUUGAAUGAAAGAAAGAUUAGGUUGUGUAUUUGGAUUAUAUAGAAUAGGUAUCAAAUUGGACCUCUUUGGAAACAGUGAGUCAUGUCGUGAUGACGUACUCUCAGUGUCGCAACGAGAUCAAUUAGAGAGUUACAUCGUGACGAUUUAGAAUUGUACUGCAAUGAGGAAUCCCCAAAGUCAUGAUGUCAACUCAAUACUUUGAAAUCAUUACAAUUUGGUCCUAAGGUUAGCAAUAAAGCUUUUUUAAGCUCGUGUAAGACCCGAAAUUUGAUUACGUAUCAUAUAAUACACAUAUUUUACUUAUAUUUAAAUGUAUAAUGGUAUAAAUUGAUUUUAUUUAUUCGUAAUUGCUUCAGAAACGAAUGUGGCAUCUUGUAGCUUAGUCCCAGCGAUCGGGUCAGGUAUGGGGUAUUACAAUUUUAAUUUGUCCUCUAGAGUAGUUCUAGUAUGUGUUUCUUUUAUUACUUAUUUGUUUGCUAGAAUUUAUUAGUGAUUGUUUAUUUUUUAUACAAAGGACUUCCGCAGAGAUGGAAGUUCGCUUACAGGAGAUAAUGAGGGUACUUCCAUUAACUUUGAAGUCCUUAUUAUUCCUAUUGUGUCCACUGUACCUACUUCAACCUCUUUUACAACUCAACCACAUGUUCCUCUUCCUCCCUCAACAAGAUAUACUUCAACUGCUACAGCUUCGAUUGUUUCCAAUUCACUGAUCUUAGUCACUUUAGAUUCAGGCAUUAAAGAAUCAAUUACUAAAAGUCUAAGUGUCAUGAGAAGUUAACUAAUAAACUAGAGGCCUCCUGUUCCUCCCAAGGAUUAGGAACAGAAGGAAAAAAAAAGGUUCUUGCUUAUAAGAAAGCUAGCUCUAAGAGUUCAACCACAAAAAAUGAGGCCUCUUCUACUUUCCUUUCAAGUAGCUCUAUCCAAUUACUCAUGUUAUUCCUUCCUUUCGAUCAAGCAUUUGCAUUGAGUUUGCGCCUUUGGCUGGCUUAUCUCUAAGUUCGCAAAACUUACUCAAUAACUAUGUUUCCUCAAGUCUUUUUGGUAAUAAGUCUAUUGUUAUGUAUUAUUCGCUUUAUUGGUCUACCCAUUAUGAUACGAUCACAGCCCGGGAUAUUUCUAUUGAGCUGCCACAAUGGCCUAUAACUAGGUCACGAGCCAAGAAUUUUAAAGAAGCUUUGGCAACCUAUGAUGAUCGAGUUUGGAGUGAACAAGAAGCCGAUUCUAUUCAUCAUGAAAGGAGUAACCCAAUAGGCGUCACUUGCAAUUUAUUGCAAGUUGAACUGAAAUUUUAAUAAACUCAUCUUUAGUUAAAUAAAUGAGUUGUUCGACAUUUAUUCAACUCAUCUUAGUUUAAUUAAUAAGUGUUUUUUUGUUGAACUUUAUUUAAUAAGUGUUGCUCUUAAUUAAUCUAGUUAUUAGGAUUAUUUAUUGAAGCAUGAGUUAAGUUUAUUUAAUUAUGCUUCUUUAAAUUAACUAGUUGCUGGAAUAAUAAAUGCAUGAGUUUAGUUCAUUUAUUUAAGUUAAGUACUUAUUGUUGAUAUGUUUAAUUAGUGUUUAAUAUGCUUAAUAAGUUCAUUUUAAUGUUUUAAUUGUAGGAGUUUCUUCAGUUCACAACCGUUACAUUUCAAAGCUAUUACAAACUUAAAAGAAGUGACCUUUCAAGUGCUAACUAAACAAAAAUGAAGUAGCUGUUACAAAGGGGGUCAAUACACCAUUGAAGGACGUUUUAAAGAGCAUUUUAUACUCCUUAAAUUUGGCAGCAACCCUUUAAGCUACCUGCUGUUUUGUUUUUUUUUAAAAAGAAUAAAUUAAGCAUUCAAAUCCUCAUUAAGGAGAUGAUGUCUAUUCGGCUAGCCAUGGGAUAGCUCAAGAGUCAAUUUCAAGUUUUCAUGAACAUUCAUUCAGCUGAAUUGAAGAGAAUUCAAUGAAGAAGUUAUUUGUUUCAAGAAUGCCAAGAGUCUUGAUCUUUAAAUUAGUUUUCCUUAAUUAGCACAUUAAGUGAUUGUUUGUGACUAUUUGGCUACCCUAUUUUAGCACUAUAAAUAGGUGAAUUCAGAUUUUUUGUAAAUGAUACUUUUUGAUGAAUUUUGAAUGAAACUCUGUUCAUUUGGUGAGAAUUACUUUUCUCCAAUUUUGUUCAAAGACUUGUUGGCUUAUCUACAAAGCUAGUGGUGUCAACCCGUUCUUCGUUUUAUCCUGAACUUAUCACUUAAACAAGUGUGGCGUUCAAACCCUAUACUGAUGUUCCUAUCUUUCUAAAUAGUGGGUCGAGGUUUUGAUUGAAUUUCCUAUCCAACUUAUUAAACAUAUAAGUGUUGGGUCAACACUUAAUAGUGUUGGUUCUUACUUGUUUCUUGUGCCGUUUUAUCUCUUUCAUUUUAUCAAACCCGAACACUUCCAUUUUAUCCAUUUUCCCUUAACCUUUGUUAUUAUAAAAUGAUAUUGAGCCUAUAUUAUCAAACUUAUUUGUUAGCCAUUCAUUGGUUUCUUACUUCAUCGUAGAUGAUCAGGCAACACAAAUAAGACUCGACUCAACACCGAGGCAGAUCGUAUCAUUUGGUAUUAGAGCUAUUAAAAUGAGAAGUAUGGACUUCCGAAGACAACCCAGAAUAGGUUCGUGAAGUGCAAAAAAAAAUCAAGUUGUAUUCGCAAGUUUCUCAUUGUUUAUGAAGUAUUGAAAAAAACCAAAAUUUCAAAAAAAAGUGUUGGAAAUUUCCCGAUUCGCAAAGAAUUGAUUUUCUACCCCAUCUCUUCUACCUCAACGCCACACUCAACCCGAUUUUUCUUUCUUUGUUCAGCCUACCCUAUUCCUAUUCAUUAUUCCCUUUGUUUCCCAAAUUUGUGACCAACCCCUAAGCCUAUGAUUAAGCCUUGGCAAGUAUGCUUACAAAGUCACGAGAAAAGAAGAAGUGGAAAAAGGCAGGAGAGCGUGAGCACAAUAGAGAGGAGGUAAAAGCCAACAUACGAGUGCAAACGCGAGCGUGAAUGUUAUCAUUUUCUGUCUUUCCUAGUGAAUAUAAGGUUUGUUGUGAGGUUUUAAUUAUUAUCUUUCUUCAGUUUUGAUUUGUUUAAUUUGUUAUAUGUCACAAAAUUCUAAUCAAAAUAUGGAGGAGCGACAAGAACGACAACCUGUUUAAAAUAUUCCGGACCUUAAUCUUCAAGCCAUGUUACGCGAGGUGGAGCGACUCUUUGACCGGAAGGGUCCAAUGUGAUGUUCAAUGAAGAGAACAACGGAAUUGUGGCCAAAGAGAUCGGAGACGAGAAGAUGAUGAUCUCAAGAAUAUAAAGCUGUCAAUAUCUCCUUUUCAUGGUAAAUCUGACCCUAAGGCAUAUCUAGAGUGGGAAAAAACGAUUGAAUUGGUAUUUGAUUACCAUAACUAUUCUGAGAAUAAGAAGGUCAAACUAGCCGCAAUCGAGUUUUUUGAUUACGCGAUGAUCUGGUGGGAUCAAUUCACCACUAGUCGAAGGCGCAACGGAGAAAGGCCUAUUACUACCUGGGUUGAAAUGAAAGCGGCAAUGCGAUGGCGGUUUAUUCCUUCAUUUAAUCAUCGAGAACUUCAUCAGAAACUUCAAAAUCUUUCUCAAGGCACUAAAAGUGUAGAAGAUUAUUACAAGGAGAUGGAGGUGGCGAUGAUUCGUGCGGAUGUGCAAGAAGACCGCGAGGCAACGAUGGCUCAUUUUCUAGCUGGACUCAAUCGUGAUAUUGCUAACGUAGUCAAACUUCAACAUUAUAUUUAGGUGACGGAUAUGGUACACAUGGUCAUCAAAGUGGAAAAACAAAUGAAGCGAAAAGGUGCUACUCGAGGUUAUUCCACUACAAAUCCUUCAAGAUGGGGACAAGGCAUUAGCAAAAGUUUUCCAUCAAAUCGAACAAAGGAGUCCACGGUGUUGCCCAAAACAAACAAACCUUUGGCCGAAUCAAGCAAAGGAAAAGCCAUUGAGAGCUCGUCCAACCGUUCAAGAGAUAUCAAAUGCUUUAAAUGUUUUGGGAGAGGACAUAUCACUAGUCAGUGUCCAAACCAGAACACCAUGGUAUUGCGUGCUGAUGGUGAAAUUGAAACGGAGGGUGAAGAGGAAGAUGAGGCCGAAUUGAAUUCUGACGAAGAAGAGGAUUUAGAACACCCUGUUGAAGGAGAGUUGCUUUUAGUCAAACGAAGUCUAAGUCUUCAAGGACUGGAGAACGAGCAACAAAGAAAGAAUAUUUUCCAUUCGAGAUGUCAAAUCCAAGGUAAAAUUUGUAGUAUUAUUAUAGAUGGUGGAAGUUGCACGAAUGUGGCAAGUACUUUCAUGGUGGAGAAGUUAGGAUUGCCGACCACCAAACAUCCGAACCCGUACAAGCUUCAAUGGCUCAAUCAUGGAGGUGAGCUUAAAGUCGUGAAACAAGUUCUUGUUACUUUCAAAAUUGGAAAAUAUUCCGAUGAAGUUCUAUGCGACAUGGUGCCUAUGCAUGCAGGCCAUUUGCUGUUAGGACGACCAUGGCAAUUUGACCAGAGAGUGGUUCAUGAUGGCUAUACCAAGAGGUAUACCUUCAAGCAUUGUGGCAAGAAAGUGACACUUACACCGCUAACCCCGAAGCAAGUAUACGAGGACCAACUCAAACUCAAAACUUCUAUUGGAAAAAUGCAAGAAAAAUAAAAAAGAGUGCGAAUGGAAAAGAGAAGAAAAAUGAGAGAGCUCGAGGUAAAAUUUUAAAAGAAAGUGAAAAGCCAGCAAAAGAAGAAAAAAUAGAGAAGAAAAAAAAUUAAGAAAAUAAGCGUGUUUGCAAAAGUGAGUGAUGUUCGGAGAGCAUUAACUUUGAGGCAACCUGUAUUUGUACUCAUGUACAAAGAAAUUUUGCUGAACACUAACGAAUUACCCAAAGAUCUACCUUCUUCUAUGUUGUCUCUUUUAAAGGAAUUCGAGAAUGUUUUCCCUGAUGAAGUGCCUAGUGGAUCGCCUCCCAUUCGAGGCAUCGAGCACCUAAUCAACCUAGUGCCUGAAGCCGCACUUCCUAAUUUGCCUGCUUAUCGAACUAACCCAGAAAAAACCAAGGAGUUGCAAAAUCAAGUUGGUGAACUUAUGGAUAAAGGUUACAUUCGAGAGAGUCUUAGUCCUUAUGCAGUGCCGGUUCUACUUGUGCCCAAAAAAGAUGGUUCAUGGCAAAUGUGUGUUGAUUGCCAUGCCAUCAACAAAAUCACCAUCAAAUAUAGACAUCCUAUUCCUUGACUCGAUGAUAUGCUUGACAAAUUAAGUGGUGCUAAAAUAUUCAUGAAGAUUGAUCUUAGGAGUGGAUACCAUCAAAUUCGAAUGCGAGAAGGCGAUGAAUGGAAGACUGCCUUCAAGACCGAACACGGUUUGUAUGAAUGGUUGGUAAUGCCAUUUGGUCUUACAAAUGCUCCUAGUACUUUUAUGCGAUUAAUGAAUCAUGUGUUGCGUGCUUAUAUUGGAAAAUUUUUUGUAGUAUAUUUUGAUGAUAUCUUGAUAUACAACAAGUCAUUAGAAGAACAAGUUCAACAGUUGCAGAUGGUUUUGGAAACGUUGCGACAAGAGGUACUCUAUGCCAAUUUUAAAAAGUGUUCAUUUUGCACUAAUAAAAUUGUGUUUUUAGGUUUUGUGGUGAGUUUCGAAGGAUUGGAAGUUGAUCAAGAGAAAGUUCGAGCGAUUCAAGAAUGGCCGCGUCCAACUGGCAUUAGCCAAAUCUGAAGUUUUCAUGGGCUGGCUAGUUUUUAACGACGUUUCGUACCUAAUUUUAGUACAAUUGCUGCACCAUUGAAAAGUGUUAUUAAGAAAAAUUCAGCAUUUUAUUGGUCUGAUGAACAAGAAAAUUCGUUUAAUAAAAUUAAACAAUGUCUUGUUCAAGCACCUUUAUUAACACUUCCUAAUUUUUUUAAAACUUUUGAAAUCGAAUGUGAUGCUUCAGGUGUAGGAAUUGGGGCUGUGCUAACACAAGUUGGAAAAUCGGUGGCGUAUUUCAGCAAGAAGAUAAAUGGCGCUGUUCUCAACUACCUCGUGUAUGAUAAGGAAAUGUAUGCCUUAAUUCGAUCUCUUGAGACGUGGCAGCAUUAUUUGUGGCCAAAGGAAUUCGUGAUACACUCUGACCAUUAAGCCUUAAAGUACAUCAAGGGUCAACAGAAGUUAAACAAACGCCCUGCAAAGUGAAUUGAAUAUCUUGAAUCUUUCCCAUAUGUCAUCAAGUAUAAGAAAGGUAAAGAAAAUGUAGUGGCUGAUGCCUUAUCAAGGAGGUACACCUUAUUAUCUUAUCUUGAUUCUAAGCUACUUGGGUUUUCUUAUUUGAAGGAAUUGUAUGUUGCUGAUGAUGAUUUUGGAAAUAUUUUUGCUGCUUGUGAGAAUGGAUCUUUUGAGAAGUUUUAUAGGUACAAGGGAUUCCUUUUUAAGGAAGGUAAGUUAUGUAUACCCCAAGGCUCGAUUCGAGAAUUGCUUACGCAAGAGGUGCAUAGUGAAGGUCUCAUGGGUCACUUUGGUAUAAGUAAGACACUAUCUACCUUACAAGAACAUUUCUAUUGGCCGAGAAUGCGAAGAGAUGUUGCACGUGUCUGUGAGCAUUGUGUUACUUGUAAACAAUCUAAGUCCAAAAUUCAACCACAUGGUUUGUAUAUGCCGCUGCCCAUACCUGAAUUUCCUUGGACGGAUGUAUCCAUGGACUUUUUCCUUGGGUUACCACAAACAAAAAUAGGAAAAGACUCUAUAUAUGUUGUAGUUGACAGAUUUUCGAAAAUGUCUCAUUUUACUGCAUGUGCUAAGACAGAUGAUGCUAUUUAUGUAGCUAAUCUCUUCUUUAGGGAAGUUGUUCGUUUACAUGGAAUUUCAAGAACAAUUGUAUCCGAUCCCGAUGCAAAGUUUUUGAGCCAUUUUUGGAGAUCAUUGUAGGGAAAGCUUGGAACGAAGCUGUUAUUUUUGACUACUUGUCAUCCACAAACGGAUGGACAAACAGAGGUGGUGAACCGAGUAUUGACUACUUUGUUGUGUGCCAUCAUCCGUAAAAAUUUAAAGUCGUGGAAAGAAUGUUUACCUCAUAUCGAAUUUGCUUAUAAUCAUUCUGUUCAUUCUGCUACUAAGUUUUCUCCUUUCGAAGUAGUUUAUGGUUUUAAUCCAUUAACUCCCAUUGAUUUAUUACCAUUUCCUAAUGAUCAAUUUGUACAUGUAGGUGCCAAGAAAAAGUUCGAAUACGUCAAAAAACUCCAUCAAAAAGUGCAAGCUAACAUUGAAGCCCGAACUGAAAACUAUGUUCAAAGAGCGAACAAAGGAAGGAAACGAGUUAUUUUUGAACCAGGUGAUUGGGUUUGGGUUCAUAGGAGGAAAGAACGAUUUCCAGCUCAACGACGAUCUAAGUUAUUACCACGAGGAGAUGGUCCAUUCCAAGUUAUUGAAAGGAUAGAUGAAAAUUCAUAUUGACUUGACUUACCCGGUGAAUAUAACAUUAAUGCCAGUUUUAAUGUUGUUGAUUUGUCUCCUUUUGAUACAAAUUCCAACUUGAGGACAAGUCGCUUUCAAGAGGGGGAAUGAUACGAUGACAGCCCGGGAUGUUUCUAUUGAGCUGCCACAAGGGCCUAUAACUAGGUCACGAGCUAAGAAUUUUAAAGAAGCUUUGGCAAGCUAUGUGGAUCGAGUUUGGAGUGAACAAGAAGCUGAUUCUAUUCAUCAUGAAAGGAGUAACCUAAUAGACGUCACUUGCAAUUUAUUUCAAGUUGAACUGAAAUUUUAAUAAACUCAUCUUUAGUUAAAUAAAUGAGUUGCUGGACAUUUAUUCAACUCAUCUUAGUUUAAUUAAUAAUUUUUUUUGUUGAAAUUUAUUUAAUAAGUGUUGCUCUUAAUUAAUCUAGCUACUAGGAUUAUUUAUUGAAGCAUGAGUUAAGUUUAUUUAAUUAUGCUUCUUUAAAUUAACUAGUUGCUGGAAUAAUAAAUGCAUGAGUUUAGUUCAUUUAUUUAAGUUAAGUACUUAUUGUUGAUAUGCUUAAUUAGUGUUUAAUAUGCUUAAUAAGUUCAUUUUAAUGUUUUAAUUGCAGGAGUUUCUUUAGUUCACAACCGUUACAUUUCAAAGCUGUUACAAACUUAAAAGAAGUGACCUUUCAAGUGCUAACUGAACACAAAUGAAGUAGUUGUUACAAAGGGGGUUAAUACACCAUUGAAGGACGUUUUAAAGAGCAUUUUAUACUCCUUAAAUUAAGCAGCAACCCUUUAAGCUACUUGCUGUUUUGUUCUUUUUUUUAAAAAAAGAAUAAAUUAAGCAUUCAAAUCCUCAUUAAGGAGAUGAUGUCUAUUCGGCUAGCCAUGAGGCAGCUCAAGAGUCAAAUUUCAAGCUUGUGUCACGGGGCUAGACCUUUCAUCUCGCAAUCCGUGCGGCCUUAGGCGAUCCGUUUGCUCCAAACUCGCCCAAGUCAGCCUUAUCUCAAUGAGGAUUCUUUAAGAACUCCUCCAAGGCACCAAUUGAACAGCGAAAGCGAUUUAUGCCAAAAGAAGCUAAGCAAAAGAACAACAGAAAGAGCGCUCGCAAAGUGUUUGAGUAAAUGCUCUCUACUUCUCUUAUUCACAAGGAAUAAUGAAACAAUUCAGGAGUGAGUACAAAUGAGGGGGAGGCUCUCUAUUUAUAGUUGAGCUCCCCCAAAACCAACGAUUAAGAUACAAAUACAUCGACGGACGAGAUUAACCAUAUCCCUUUAUUUUAGGGAUUUACAAGAUAUGCCAUAUCAAAUCUAAUCUAAUCUUUACAAGAUAUGAUUCUCUCUAUCUUCUAAGAUUAAUUACCAUAUUAGCCUAAGUUGCCAUCUCUUCGCUAUCGGGCCAACCAGGCUUCAAUCUGACAGGCUUCUCCAAUAUCUCAUUGAAUCGGGCCAGUUCUCGUGGGCCAAAUGAUCCCUAUCUGAGCAAUAGACCUCCAUUGGAUGCAUUUGGUGCGAUGGUCACGGGCUUUUAACUGUGGCCCGUGACAUUCUCCCCCACCCAUUCUCGCAAUGCCCUCGUUGCGACUUCUGAAUGGUACUGACUUGAUUCGUCUCAAUCUCGUCUCGACGCCUUAGACUUUCCCUUUAUUUGGGACUUUUGCCUCAGCUUUCGUCGCUUCUUAACUCGAGCUGCCCUACUCAUUGCAUUUACUCUGGUCAACUAUCCCACAUGCAUCGCUUCCUUUUCAUUGAAGUCCGAUGCACCACCCACCUCUCCCAUAGGUGGAAGCCUUGUCGAUGACUCGGCCAACUCUGACGCUUCACUCAACUUGAGCCUCAUUGGUCCCAGCUUCCCUGUUUUCAUCGCAACUUUCUCUACUAAGUUUGAUGACAAACUUACCUCUUCCUUGGGUGGAAGCCCCUCCGACGACUCACCAAGCUUAGACGUUGCCUUUCCUUUGACUCCGGCUUGCUUUGGACAGUUUCGCAACUCAUGCGGACCACGGCACAAGAAGCACUUUACUCGUUUCUUUUUGCUCCUCUUUGCCCUCUUGGCUUCAGCUUUUCCCUUGCUCGAACCAAGCUUCUUGGGCUCCUUGUCUGGUCCAUCGUUACCUUCGAUGACAGGCUUCUUCGGACACUUCCGCAACCUAUAUGGACCCUGGCACAAGAAGCACUUCACUGGCUUCUUCUCACAUUCGGCCUCCUUGGCUUCGACACCCCUUGCGCUCGAACCAAGUACCACGGCCUUACCUACCGGCUUCUCCUUAAGCGCGGAUUUCUUUGGACACUUCUUCAACAUAUGUGGACCGUCGCACAGAAAGCAUUUCAGCUUGUCCCUUUUCCUCUUGGGUUUCUUCUUCCCAACUCGUGGUUUCCUAUUACCACUAUUGUCGCCGUUGCCAUUGCCAUCCAUACUAUCUUCCUUGUGAUCCAUUUCACAUACGCCCCUUCCCUCGGACUUGGAAGACCCAAGCUUGUCUUUCCCUUGACCAAGCUACACUAUGGAUUCAACUACCAUCAUGGCUUCCGACAGCUUUUGGACAUCUCUUUCCUCCACCUCCUGUCUGACCCACGACUUCAAUCCCUUUUGAAAAGCAAGCAAUGCUUCUUCAUCGGUCACAUCUGAAACUUGGAGCAUGAGUUCUUUGAACUCUCGAACAUACUCCCCCACUGUGCCUUGUUGCGUUAUCCCUUGCAACUUUGCCGAUGCUUCUUCCUCGGUAAACUCUAGGUAAAACUGUCCCUUCAAUUCGCAUUGGAACUCCUGCCACGUCCCAAUCUCUCCUUGCCUUUUAUCUGUGGUCCUACGUCGCCACCAUAAAAGCACAAUGUUAGUAAGAAACAUUGAAGCAGUAUUUACCUUAACCGCAUCAUCCAUGAUGCCUUUGGCACGGAAGUAGUGCUCCAUCCUCCACAAGAAAUUGUCCACAUCGUAUGCAGAUCUUGUCCCCGUAAACUCUUUCAGCUUUGGAACAUCCUCAUUACUGAGUGCUGCACUUGACCCUCCUUUCCCCACGGCUACUUGUCACAAGGCCAGCUCUCCCUCGAGCUCCUCUAUUCUUGUGCUCAAAGCCCUCGUCGUGGCAAUUGUUUCCUCCUUCAAAGCCAUCAUCAUGACCUCGAGAGCAUCAUUCCUCUCUGUCAGCUUCUUCCUUUGGGAAUCCAGCAACUCUUGCACGCUAUCCCUUUGGGAAGUAAGACCCAUGAUCAAACAGUCCCUGGACUGCUCCCUCAAGUCAUCAAUGCUUUCCCCAAGCGCAUUGUCUGACUCUUUGGCGUCCUCCAUGGACUUCUCAAGUUUACCCACGCGUUCUUCAACAGCUGACAACAUUUCCCUCAAAGACUUCCUCGCCCACCUUUGUUCGAACUCUUCUUUCGACAUCCCAACGGUGCUUUUGAACCAACAACUCAGAUAUCACUUGGUUCAAACCUUGGCUCGGAUACCACUUGUCACGGGGCUAGACCUUUCGUCUCGCAAUCCGUGUGGCCUUAGGCGAUCCGUUUGCUCCAAACUCGCCCAACUCAGCCUUAUCUCAAUGAGGAUUCUUUAAGAACUCCUCCAAGGCACCAAUUGAACAGCGGAAGCGAUUUAUGCCAAAAGAAGCUAAGCAAAAGAACAACAGAAAGAGCGCUCGCAAAGUGUUUGAGUAAAUGCUCUCUACUUCUCUUAUUCACAAGGAAUAAUGAAACAAUUCAGGAGUGAGUACAAACGAGGGGGAGGCUCUCUAUUUAUAGUUGAGCUCCCCCAAAACCAACGGUUAAGAUACAAAUACAUCGACAGACGAGAUUAACCAUAUCCCUUUAUUUUAGGGAUUUACAAGAUAUGCCAUAUCAAAUCUAAUCUAAUCUUUACAAGAUAUGAUUCUCUCUAUCUUCUAAGAUUAGUUACCAUAUUAGCCUAAGUUGCCAUCUCUUCGCUAUCGGGCCAACCAGGCUUCAAUCUGACAGGCUUCUCCAAUAUCUCAUUGAAUCGGGCCAGUUCUCGUGGGCCAAAUGAUCCCCAUCUGAGCAAUAGACCUCCAUUGGAUGCAUUUGGUGUGAUGGUCACGGGCUUUGAACUGUGGCCCGUGACACUUGCAUGAGCAUUCAUUCAGCUGAAUUGAAGAGAAUUCAAUGAAGAAGUUAUUUGUUUCAAGAAUGCCAAGAGUCUUGAUCUUUAAAUUAGUUUUUCUUAAUUAGCACAUUAAGUGAAUGUUUGUGACUAUUUGGCUACCCUAUUUUAGCACUAUAAAUAGGUGAAUUCAGAUUUUUUUGUAAAGGAUACUUUUUAAUUAAUUUUGAAUGAAACUCUGUUCAUUUGGUGAGAAAUACUUUUCUCCAAUUUUGUUCAAAGACUUGUUGGCUUAUCUCCAAAGCUAAUGGCGUCAACCCGUUCUUUGUUUUAUCCUGAACUUAUCAAUUAAACAAGUGUGGCGUUCAAACCCUAUACCGAGGUUCCUAUCUUUCUAGAUAGUGGGUUGAGGUUUUGAUUGAAUUUCCUAUCCAACUCAUUAAACGUAUAAGUGUUGGGUCGACACUUAAUAGUGUUGGUUCUUACUUGUUUCCUGGGCCGUUUUAUCUCUUUCAUUUUAUCAAACUCGAACACUUCCAUUUUAUCCAUUUUCCCUAAACCUUUGUUAUUAUAAAAUGAUAUUGAUCCUAUAUUAUCAAACUUAUUUGUUAGCCAUUCAUUGGUUCCUUACUUCAUCGUAGAUGAUCGGGCAACACAAAUACGACUAGACUCAACACCGAGUCAGAUCGUAUCACAUUAUUAUAUUUAUAAUUAACAACUUGAUAUGAUUUUUUUUCAUAGGUUCUACCUCUAGUAUAUCCACCAUAAUACACGUAGCUUCAAAGUGAUCUACUUCAUCAGUUGCUCUUUCUUUAACUUUUCCAAAUUCAUCAAUUCCUCCUUUUAUUGGUGUUUUAAAGGUUUCAACAAAUUCUAUUUCUUUUGGUGUUCUCUCAACAUUUGGCAGAUUGAUCUGUCGUAAUUUGGUGUAGCAGAUUAAACUAGUUUUUGUACUUUAGGAGCUUGAACAUAAACAUUUUAGUUGCAUUUUAAUUACAUUUCAGUAAGUUUAGUUAAGCUUAAUAAAUGUGUAAAGUGAGUCUUUUAUUUAGCUUAGGGUUGAAUGAGGCCUACGGGGAAGCUAAUAUACUUUGUGUGUGUGUGCAGGAGACCAUUAAAAGGAGUAUUAACUUAAUACUAGCCGCUAGGUUGCAACACGGAGCAUGCGAUGUCACAACAUAGGAAGUAGAAUAAGAAAAGUCCAAGACUACCUUUAAUGUCGUGACACAGCCUGAGGAUUUUACGACAUACCCUUGAAGACACCCUAAAGCUGAGCAGACUACCCUCGAUGUCACGACACUAGACUUGAUGUGUCGCGACAUCUUUUCCGUACAGGAAAUUAAUACGAGCUAGGGUCUUUUUGGUCUAUACAAUCUAAGUUUAAGCUUGGGAACCUCACUUGUCCUAGGUUUAUGGAUGACGGCCAUUCUAAGUCUAUAAAUAGGCUUAGCCAACACAUGUUAUGGACACUUUUUCACUUUGUAUAAUUUUAUCCUUAGAUUUAGAACUUUAGAUUUUCUCUUUUCUUAGGUUUUAGAUUUUCGUUCUUGUUAUUUACUAUCGGGAAGAAAUUAGAUUCUGGAAUUAAUCUCAAACUUUGUGAGGAUUUUGCGCUUAAAUUCAAUACAAUCAGGUUUCUUCUAAACUUUAUUCUUGAAAUUGUUCUUCAUGUUCAUUUUUUCAUUCAAGUUUAUAUUAUUUAUUAGAUCCAUGAGGAACUAAUCCUCCUAUAGAGGAUUAGCGAGUGGAGGUAUGAAUAAUUAAUUAUUUUGUAGGAAUUUCUUAACGGACCAGUUAUUUAGGAAAUGAAGAAUCGAAACCUUAGGCCAAACAAUCCUAAGAAGAAAUUAAGGUGGGAAUUAACCAAAAUUUGGUAUGGCUUAUCCGUGAACACAUUAACCCUGAACUGGUCUUGACCGUGAGGUCAAAAGAUAAGUAGUUCUUGUUGACUUAGUAUUUCAGUGGACGUAUCAGAAGAUCCUGUUGGGGUAUUGACUAGUUGAUUAAACAAGAAAGCCCAAGAUGACAAUUGCUUAUGAUUAUUGAAGCAAGCUAACCACCCAUGCCCAGAUUUGAUACAUAUUUCCUUAUUUUAUUUCUUGUUUUUUUAUUUAUUUAAUCUUCUUUUAUGUUCUUAGUAUAGUUUAUUAAAACCUUUCUUUUUCUCUUUCAUACUAUAAUUUAAUUAAAAUAUUAAAACAUUGGGUACAAUCCUCGGAGUACUUACCUACUCCGUUGUAACUAUAUUUUAACCUAACCCUUAUACUUGUAAAUACUGGCUGUUAUAUCUUUUGUGUAGGAUUUCUACUCUAGAUGUUGGUACUUCUGAAGGUGGUCAAGUUGUUAGCGCCAUUGCCGAGGAGGCAACGUCACUAUAUUGGUUUUAAUUUUUGCAUAUUUAUAGAAUAAUUAGGAAACAUUUGGAUUAUAGCUAUGAUUUAGUUAACAUUACUAACACUUUUCUGUUCUUCAAAGAAUUCUAGUACCUACUCUUGUCUAAAGUAUCGACAACAGUAAACACCGAAGUUGAUCUAGCAUAAAUAAUGGAAAACUUUGAUUAUAUAUGGUUGGAUGAGAAUUUAGAUUAUGAUGAUGACAUUUAUGAAGAAUGGGAGAUCCAAGAGAACCAACGAUUACUGAUGCUUGAAUUUAGUCAACUCUGAGGAGAAACUUUAACCCCUUUCCUAGAUACCACUAGCAUCAACACAAAUCUUGUAAGACAUUAAGGUGAGCAAAGUCAGGGACUAAACAAGGGAGAAAUCUUAAUUGUAGAUGCUUGUAAGGAAAGGGAAUUCUCAAACAGCAAUUUGAUCUUGCAUAUAGAAGAACACCAGGAUGGAUUAGAAGGAACGACAUUAUGAGAAGCUAUAGAACUAGUUGAGGAAAUGGUGAGCAGACAACAUAAGCAAUCAGGUGUUGAAUUCAUCUCGCCAACGACAUUAGGUUCCAUUGAGUGGAACAAUGUGCAUGAUCAGGACAUUUUAGAUCCACCUCAACGCUCGGAGCUAAAGAUAUUCACUGCCAAUCUAGUGGAAGAAUGCCCAAAGACUAGGAACCCUGCGAGAAAGAACGAGGGCAAACAUGCACUUUCAGGGGAAAUAUUUAACUUGAAUGUAAUUUUUUUUGUAAGAUAGUAAUCUUUAAUCAGAAGCCCCAAAAUUUUAAUGACCUAGGGAUCUUCUGGAUGUUGACAAAGAUAAUAUAUAUAUCAACAGGACUUAUGAUCACAUGACAAGCAUCAUCCAAACGAUCUCAUUGGUAAGCACAGAAACACCGAUAGAAUAGUAAUAUGGCCUAUAGAAAAACUCGAAAGCCUCUAGAACUGGGAUCCAAGUUAUGUGGUACCGUAUGGCACACUAAUAGAAUGUUCAAGGAAACUCCUAUAAUACCAUUUUUGUUAGAAGAAUUAUUUAAGUACUUUAUGCAUAAUAAAUAUGACCAACAACACCUGUACCUUUUGGAAAACAAGGACGAUAUGAUGGUUGUGUUGUUCUUUAAUUCUACAAGUUAUUAAUAAUUAUGAUCUAUGAAAGGAAUUAUAGGUGGUCAGUGUAGGUCGAAAGGGUAAACUCCGAGAGUGGGAUAAACAAAGAAGAAUAGAAUGGCACAAUGGGUGUUGGAUUAAUACAAUAGAAACAAACUAUAGGAAGCACCCAAGGGUGUACUAACCGAGCUGAUGGAUGAGUCCGGUAGCAAACCUAAAAUUUUUAUGUAACUUUACUAACUGUACAAAAAUGUAUAUUUCGCUAAUGAAUGAACUGAAAUGUUACAGGAAGAUCAGAAACACGGCUAACAGGCGCUUGAAGCACUCUGAAGAUAAAAAAAAUGGGAAAAACAGAGUCAAUGUCCCAACAUGUUGACCUCGUGUUACAAAACUAUGUCCAGUAGUAAGGAAUCACAACAUUCAUAUCGACUUUGCGACACCACUCUUUUGUGGUGUGACAUGGAGGAUAGUUUCCUAGAAUUUCAAAACUACAAGGUGUGUUACGACAUCGGGGAUAUUAACAAGUUGAUAGGGAUGUCAUGACAUGAAAACCCUGUGUUCCGACAUAUCUACAAUUUUUUCGCAGGGUUGACACGACUCGUUCACUCAACCCGGAUGCAUAACUCUGACUUCACCCAGUUUUUAAACCUAAAAACCCUUAUUUUUAACUAUUAAACACCUUAGGUCAAACUCUUAACCUAUUCUAAACAUCACACCCUUUUACAACCCCUCAAUCUCCAAAAUCCUUUUUCAUCCCCAAACCCUAACUACACAAAACUCCAUUGUUAUUCCUAAGGCCAUGUUUGGGUGAGAUUUCAUCAAGCACUUAGAGAAGCAGCAGAAACAAUUGCAAGGAGGUCAAGGUUACGUGGUCCUUUACUCGUUUUACUAUUCCAUUGAUUUUUUUAUUUAUUUGAUUACUUUAAAGUUGAACAAUAGAAAAUGCCUCCUAAAAAGAGUAAUAAAAAUACAGUCCAAGAAACUCCAAUAGUUUCGGACCGUACAAAAUUUGAGAACCCAAAUACUAAAAAAUAUUUUCUUGAGUUAUAGGGUGAGCCUUUCAUCCAAGAGCGAGGGUUCGAAUCUUUAAUGGCUUUAAGCAAUGAAAUCUGAAGUUUAGUUAGAUACCCUCGUUGGGAGCGAUUCUAUAUCACUCCCAAGGAAACCGCAAUAAAUUCAGUUGUGUAAGAAUUCUAUGCUUCCUUUAGAGACCAAGAAAUACGAAAAAAACAAAAUUGGGAUACAGUAAUAGUGAGAGGAGAAGAAGUGCCCAUUACUCCAAGGGAAAUUUGUGAGUGCUAUGAUAUACCCUAUUAUAUCGGAGACUUCUUGGAUAGUACUGAUUUCGAAAAUUUUAAGGAUAUAGAUAUGGAGAAUGUUAUUAAGUACUUAACAUAUGGUAGAGGUACAUGGAAUUUUAGACCAGAUUUAGAUUUACCGACUAGUUUCAAUCAGGCGAUAAUGUUCCCAGUAGUGAAAAUGUGGAUGCAGUUCAUAGGUACUAGAAUUACACAUGCAUUAAAUGUUUCUAACAUUAAUACUUUUCGAGCUAUUGUAUUGUAUGGAAUUUUAUAGUGCAAGAAAAUGUGUAGGUAAAUGGAUUUACCGUGAAAUGAGGCACUGUGCACAUAGCCAAAAAGCUAGAAUUUUCUUUCCCCCUGGUGAUAAAACUAUGUCGACAGGAAAAUGUUCCAAUGGGUGAAAAUGAGUAGUUCAUGAAACCAACAAAAAGCAUCAUUGGAGACUAAUUGUACACGUAAUACGUCAAGCUUCAAAGUAAACAGAUCAUGAAGUGGAAUCAGAGAAUGAAAAAAAGAUGGAUAUCUCGAUUUCACUUAAACAGAAAGAGAAAUCAAAAGCUCGAAGAGGGACAAGUGGGAUCACAGAGGAAAAGCUCAAAGGACUGAUCCGUUGGAUGCAAGAAAUAGGGGCAGUACUUCAAGAAUUUGAAAGGAUGAAUGGUUUGUGAGCUCCAAAUUAUCCAUCUGACAUGUUUGGCCCUGCACCGACAUACCAUGAUAAGGGAAGAGAUAAGACGGAAGCAGACUCCGAAUAUGAAGAUGAGGGGGAUGUGUAGGAUUCUCCAUGAGCUGAGGAUGAGUAUGAGGUGGCAUUCUAGCAGCAAUAUUCCAUGCCAAAAGGGCCAAUCAUCCAAAGCCCGACCCAACAUUCACAUUCAACAGGUAGGAGCUCCCACCAAAAAUAUGGUUGGGGCAAGAGAAAAACACCCAUGGGACAAAGGCAUACACCUCAGUUCGAUGAUUUAGAGGAGAAUUAAUUUAAAAUUUUAAUGUUUUUAUAAGAUUGUAUUAAUUUUUGGAUGAUUUUAUUUUGAUUUUAGGGUAGGAUUAAUAGUAAAUUAUAAGUUUUUUUGUGUCAUGUUCUAAUUUUCUAUGUAGGAACCCCACCUAGAGGAGCCACAAUAUUAGAGCUUGCAAUGAGGAAUGGAGGAAGCAC
Molecule: long non-coding RNA, 41581 nt
Filed under: Gossypium barbadense (sea-island cotton)
Lineage: Eukaryota; Viridiplantae; Streptophyta; Magnoliopsida; Malvales; Malvaceae
Description: long non-coding RNA (GBAR_LNC016553)
Source: RNAcentral